This 257-nucleotide long non-coding RNA is filed under the name Vigna radiata. Its description in RNAcentral is "long non-coding RNA (VRAD_LNC009598)". Lineage: Eukaryota; Viridiplantae; Streptophyta; Magnoliopsida; Fabales; Fabaceae. The record is from RNAcentral.
AGUCUUCUUAUUAUAUUUUAGUUUCUUUUUUUAUUUAUUUUUAUUUUGCUUUGCUCUUUUUUUUUGUUGCUUUUCUGAUUAUUUUUUAUAUGUAUAUAUUGACAUCCUCCAUUGUGAUUCUAAAAUAUUAAUAAAAGUAAAGUAUAAAAAUUUUAGAAUUUUAGAUUAUUAUAUUCUUGCUGUAGUUAUGUUUUAUCACAUUUUUCUGAAGAUUGCAGUGUUGGUUUACUAUUAUUUUAUUUGUUAGUUUUUUAACA